CCCGCCGCCCGCCGGGUGCUUUCUGCUGCGGGCGGGAGUCCUAUUUUGCAAAUAGGUUUCCUCGGACAACUGCUGCUGAUCUUUGUCACUCAGCCAGCCAAGUGGGGGCGAUUCUGAGUAAUGCAGGCUACCAGCAUGGCUGGGGCUGAAAGCGAAAGGGACACGCAGGAUACAUGGGGCCCUGAAUCCUCUCUGCCAGGCUGGUUGCCUUCCUGCUAUUUGUCUGGUCCUUCCGUUUUUUUAAUAAUCCUUCUACAAGGAUCUUCCGAUAAAUCCCCUGUAAAAUUCAGUUACAGGAGGAAAGUGGGUUUCUUCUGACAAGUGAAAAAGGGCCAAGGAGGAGAGAGAGGAGCCUGGAGCCCUGAUGUCUCUGCCAGGAGCCUGAGCUUUUAGAGCUAGUCUUGGGCAAGACCCAGAAGCAAGCAACCAACAUCAAGAGCCCAGUGCCCCUCCCAGCAUGGCCAACUGACUGGUAACCCUGGGCCUGUGCUAAUACAGUGGCCACCAGCAGCAUGUGGCUCUUGAGCACUUGCACGGAGGAUCAUUGUUUCUGUUUUACAGCUCUGUCCGGGAGCUUGUCUUCACUGCACAGUUGAUCUACUAUGUGUCAAGCUCUGGUCUUCCAAUGCCAAAGAGAGAAGACUGCGAUGUACUCUUCUUAUCAAAGAGCUCACAGAAAAGGGAACAUUCUGGCCUAGCUGGGGAUCCUUUGAGCUGUCAGACCUCACAGGGUGAACAGGCUAUGUCUUUACCAGAAGACAGAGUGGCAGGAUUUUUUACAAAUCCAAACUAUGGAUCCAACAGCAAUGGCCUGAAGAAAAUGAAACAAAAAGAACGGUACUGAACGUGACGGAAGCAUGAGGUCUCGUCAAGAAUCCAUCUGUAACUUAAGGUUUCAAUGUGUAAAGAAUGAGAUUCAGGAGCGCCUGGGUGGCUCAGUCAGUUGGCAUUGGGUCUCCUCACCAGGGAUCGCACUGCAUUCUGGGUAUCGCCUCACACCAGACCUGGACACGACCUCUAUCAUUGAAGAGAAAAGCAACCAUGAUAUCCUGGCAUCUACAAAAGACGUCCAUUCAUGCAAACAUUCCCCACCUCAUCUGAUACGUAUUAUGAAGUGCUAUGCAUUAGAUCCUGUGCUUGGCACAGACAUGCACAUUCUUAUAAACUGUCCGUGGAAUCUGAGUUCAAACCUCAGCCUCUUUCAGUCCUAUUGAUUUGAUCUUGUGUGUGUUAGCCUCUGUUCCUCAGAUCCAGUUCCUUCUUUCUAAUUCCCUAUCUCAGCCAUGACAUCACCAUCAUCUUCCUGUCCCCGUUCAGAACCCUAGAAAUGAUUUUAUUCACCUCGCUAACCCUCUCUGUAAUGUCCAAUCAACCCCCAGUGAUUUAACUCCUACAUAUCUCUUUGUCAUUAGCCUCAUCUCUAAUCCGUUCCACAGGUAUUUUUUGAGGAGUCUAUGUCCCAGGCUCUCUGCUGGACAUGAGGUUACCUGUCCCCAAGGAGUU
Molecule: long non-coding RNA, 1503 nt
Organism: Prionailurus viverrinus (fishing cat)
Lineage: Eukaryota; Metazoa; Chordata; Mammalia; Carnivora; Felidae
Exons: 9
Source: RefSeq, a predicted model, not a curated record